This 253-nucleotide ribosomal RNA is filed under the name uncultured bacterium. Its description in RNAcentral is "partial 16S ribosomal RNA". It matches the Rfam family "Bacterial small subunit ribosomal RNA", at positions 524 to 776 of the family's 1533-position model. The record is from RNAcentral.
UACAGAGGUCUCAAGCGUUGUUCGGAUUCAUUGGGCGUAAAGGGUGCGUAGGUGGCGCUGUAAGUCAGGUGUGAAAUUUCGGAGCUCAACUUCGAAACUGCAUUUGAUACUGCGGUGCUUGAGGACUGGAGAGGAGACUGGAAUUUACGGUGUAGCAGUGAAAUGCGUAGAGAUCGUAAGGAAGACCAGUGGCGAAGGCGGGUCUCUGGACAGUUCCUGACGCUGAGGCACGAAGGCCAGGGGAGCAAACGGG